Molecule: long non-coding RNA, 276 nt
Organism: Rosa rugosa (rugosa rose)
Lineage: Eukaryota; Viridiplantae; Streptophyta; Magnoliopsida; Rosales; Rosaceae
Exons: 3
Source: RefSeq, a predicted model, not a curated record
UAAGUAUCUCCAUCAGCUCAUGCCAUGCCACAUACUUUUGUUAAUUCCCAACCUUUUCUGUUUUGCUUACUUGAAAUUCUAAUAUGUUUAAGUUCAUUAUGCAGGCUGAGAUAGAAAAGGUUAAGAAGAGAAGGGAGGAAAGAGCACUUGAAAAAGCUCAACAUGAGGAAGAAAUGGCGCUGCUUGCCAGAGAACGCGCUCGGGCUGAGUUCCAAGACUGGGAGAAAAAAGAAGAAGAGUUCCACUUUGAUCAAAGCAAAAUGAGGUCAGACACAA